This 505-nucleotide ribosomal RNA is filed under the name uncultured bacterium. RNAcentral describes it as "partial 16S ribosomal RNA". It matches the Rfam family "Bacterial small subunit ribosomal RNA", at positions 28 to 507 of the family's 1533-position model. The record is from RNAcentral.
GACGAACGCUGGCGGCGUGCCUAAUACAUGCAAGUAGAACGCACAGUUUAUACCGUGGCUUGCUACACCAUAGACUGUGAGUUGCGAACGGGUGAGUAACGCGUAGGUAACCUGCCUGGUAGCGGGGGAUAACUAUUGGAAACGAUAGCUAAUACCGCAUAAUAUUAAUUAUUGCAUGAUAAUUAAUUGAAAGGUGCAAUUGCACCACUACCAGAUGGACCUGCGUUGUAUUAGCUAGUAGGUGAGGUAACGGCUCACCUAGGCGACGAUACAUAGCCGAACUGAGAGGGGGAUCGGCCACACUGGGACUGAGACACGGCCCAGACUCCUACGGGAGGCAGCAGUAGGGAAUCUGCGGCAAUGGACGAAAGUCUGACCGAGCAACGCCGCGUGAGUGAAGAAGGUUUUCGGAUCGUAAAGCUCUGUUGUAAGAGAAGAACGGGUGUGAGAGUGGAAAGUUCACACUGUGACGGUAUCUUACCAGAAAGGGACGGCUAACUACGUG